AGUCGCAUGGCUCAGUUGGUUAGAGUGUCCGCUUCACAUUUUAUGUAAGGGCGCGGAAGGUCGAGGGUUCGAAACCCUCUGUGGCUA
Cryptococcus sp. DSM 104548 is the source of this 87-nucleotide non-coding RNA. The record is from the annotation of a GenBank genome assembly.